UCCCCCUCUAUCUCGCCAGAUCCCCCUCCAUCUCGCGUUAUCCCCCUCGCCAGAUCCCCCUCCCCCCGCCGCCGACGACCCCCGCGCCCGCUCCGCCGCCGGAGCACUAGGAGGAGGAGGCCCGCGUCCACCAGGAGAGGAGGCCCCCAAGCUCGACGGCGCCUACUUCUUCUUCCUCCGACCGACCCCAUCUCGCCGUCGCCACCGCUGCUCUGGUCCAUCCCCACGGCAACCGAGGUGUCCACAGCCCUGUGGGCGCAGGUGCUCUACUACGCGGUGGAGGCGCUGCUCUGGUCGGGGCACGAGGGCGUGUACGCCGCCAUCGAGCGGCCGCUCCAGCUCGCGCAAACCGCCGCUGUCCUCGAGAUCCUCCACGGGCUGGUCGGGCUGGUGAGGUCGCCGGUGUCGGCCACACUGCCGCAGAUCGGGUCGCGCCUCUUCGUCACCUGGGGCAUCCUCUGGAACUUCCACGAGACCAGGACACACAUCCUGUUGAGCUCCUUGGUAAUCAGCUGGUCCAUCACCGAGUCAUAGAGAUGCCGUCGUAUGUCAUGUACAAGGGUAAGGUUCCCGAAGUCUACGACGACUGGGAGGAGUGUCGGACACAGGUUCACCGUUUCAGCGGUAACAGUUACAAAGGGUCCACCACUAGGAUGGAGGCGUAAGCUAGAUACACGCGCUAUCUAGCGGGAGAGAGGAGGGAGCAGAGGAGGAACCGGAUGAAGACUAGUUUCAUCGAGAUGAUGCUCAUCGUGAUGACCGCAUCUCUCUUCUAUGUGAUGGUAGUUUAGAUGAUCGAUAUCGACUUGUAAUGUGAAGACAAACUCGCUACUCGCGGUCUCGAGACUUGUAAUGUUCUGACUUUGUUCGCUCUUUUGAAUUCGGAGACUAAUAUGAUGAAUUGUAUUCGGAGACUAAUCUUCUAUUUGUAUUCGAUAAAUUUGAUGUUUAUAUG
This 955-nucleotide ribosomal RNA is filed under the name Triticum aestivum (bread wheat). RNAcentral's name for it is "partial small subunit ribosomal RNA". Lineage: Eukaryota; Viridiplantae; Streptophyta; Magnoliopsida; Poales; Poaceae. The record is from RNAcentral.